RNAcentral lists this ribosomal RNA (254 nucleotides) under uncultured bacterium. RNAcentral's name for it is "partial 16S ribosomal RNA". It matches the Rfam family "Bacterial small subunit ribosomal RNA", at positions 524 to 776 of the family's 1533-position model. The record is from RNAcentral.
UACGUAGGGGCCUAGCGUUGUCCGGAAUCAUUGGGCGUAAAGAGCGCGUAGGCGGCCCGGUAAGUCCGCUGUAAAAGUCAAAGGCUUAACCUUUGAAAGUCAGUGGAUACUGCCGGGCUAGAGUCCGGAAGAGGCGAGUGGAACUCCUGGUGUAGCGGUGGAAUGCGCAGAUAUCAGGAAGAACACCAACGGCGAAGGCAGCUCGCUGGGACGGAACUGACGCUGAGGCGACGAAAGCGUGGGGAGCGAACAGG